GAACGCUUGAUAUUAAUUUUAUGAAGAGCUGGCGAACUAAACGGUAGGACUGUAAUCGGGUCUUUACUGUCCGCACGCCAGCAAUUUCCAAGAGGCCUGUAA
This is a long non-coding RNA of Maniola jurtina (meadow brown), 102 nucleotides long. RefSeq lists it as uncharacterized. The record is from RefSeq and is a predicted model, not a curated record. Lineage: Eukaryota; Metazoa; Arthropoda; Insecta; Lepidoptera; Nymphalidae. The transcript has 2 exons.